CAGCCUCAGAUACGGUUGCUGAAAGCCGGAUCCUUAGAGCUCGAGGUCCUGAGGUUCCUAUACAAUCGAUCAAGGGUCCCAGCGGAGUCCAUUGAUCGAACCAGAAGCUUGCAGAGCGGCCAUUAUUGAUAGUACAAGUGAUGAAGGGCCGGGCCAGAGUUCUGAGCUUAAGGAGCGAUUUCCAGUGCCAAGAAUCUUGAGCAUGAUCAGAGAGAGCCCAAAAAUUAU
This 228-nucleotide long non-coding RNA is filed under the name Brassica rapa (field mustard). Its description in RNAcentral is "long non-coding RNA (BRAP_LNC001870)". Lineage: Eukaryota; Viridiplantae; Streptophyta; Magnoliopsida; Brassicales; Brassicaceae. The record is from RNAcentral.